AUGCACGCUGGCGGCGUGCCUAAUCCAUGCAAGUCAAGCGAACAGACGAGGAGCUUGCUCCUCUGACGUUAGCGGCGGACGGGUGAGUAACACGUGGAUAACCUACCUAUAAGACUGGGAUAACUUCGGGAAACCGGAGCUAAUACCGGAUAACAUGUUGAACCGCAUGGUUCAACAGUGAAAGACGGUCUUGCUGUCACUUAUAGAUGGAUCCGCGCCGCAUUAGCUAGUUGGUAAGGUAACGGCUUACCAAGGCAACGAUGCGUAGCCGACCUGAGAGGGUGAUCGGCCACACUGGAACUGAGACACGGUCCAGACUCCUACGGGAGGCAGCAGUAGGGAAUCUUCGGCAAUGGGCGAAAGCCUGACGGAGCAACGCCGCGUGAGGGAAGAAGGUCUUCGGAUCGUAAAACUCUGUUAUUAGGGAAGAACAAAUGUGUAAGUAACUAUGCACGUCUUGACGGUACCUAAUCAGAAAGCCACGGCUAACUACGUG
RNAcentral lists this ribosomal RNA (496 nucleotides) under uncultured bacterium. RNAcentral's name for it is "partial 16S ribosomal RNA". It matches the Rfam family "Bacterial small subunit ribosomal RNA", at positions 29 to 507 of the family's 1533-position model. The record is from RNAcentral.